This 314-nucleotide transfer-messenger RNA is filed under the name Betaproteobacteria bacterium. It matches the Rfam family "transfer-messenger RNA". From Rfam's summary of the family: Bacterial tmRNA, also known as 10Sa RNA or SsrA, is named for its dual tRNA and mRNA-like properties. Its role is to liberate the mRNA from a stalled ribosome. The record is from RNAcentral. Lineage: Bacteria; Pseudomonadati; Pseudomonadota; Betaproteobacteria.
GGGGCCGACCUGGUUUCGACGUGGGUUGCGAAGCAAGCAGGGCAUGCCGAGGAUCGGUUCACCUCGUAAAUCCAUCAAGGCUAGGCGCUGCACCGAUCGCUCUGCGGGUCGGGCCGGGUAACCGGUCGCAGCGUCAUUAACAGCAGAAGUAAGGGUGUGUCUGGCCGCGCGGCACAUCACGAAAAUUCAGCGGAUCGCUCUGCCUCAGCCUGCCCGUCGGCGGUUGCAGGGCUAGAUCAAACGACUCGGCUACGCAUGUAGAACUGUUUGUGGAGGGCUUGCGGACGCGGGUUCGAUUCCCGCCGGCUCCACCA